CUGAAAACAUGGAGAAAGGCGAUGAGGCGAAUUUCCAUCAAGUGAAAAGGUGACAUUUAUGUAGCUGAAAGAAGAGGGUAACCUAGACUCUUUCCUGUAGAAUUUGGAGAGGGAGAGAGACAGAGACAGAGAGAGGGGAAGGAAGGGAGGAAAAGAUGGGUGAAAAAAGAGGAACAGAGAAACAGUGGAAGAUAAGGUAUGGGAAGGAAACCAGGAUGAAGACAUCGUUGUGAUCGUUGCAGAACCGCCACGUGCUGUGCGCGUGGUAAACCAUCGUUACAGCUGUUAAACUAGUGGGACUCAGUGGGAUGGGUUUACAAACAAGAGUCUAUGGAGACUAUUAGGUGCCAAAACUAUUUAAGCAAAGAGAUAUCACUAUCAGAAAGUCAGCGUGAACCCUAGCUGAAAUUUUAGCAAAAUCUGAAUAAUGGCUUCAUUGAUGAGGAAUUCUUUGCCUUGGCAUCAGAAAUUUUUAAGAAACUACAAGCCAUUUGGAAUGUCUGCAGUCACACUGUUUGCCUCCUGCAAUGUACAGAUCUCUGGAUUUUCUGGUUGCUGUUACUUCCUAGACAGUGCAACAAAUAUCAGAAAGUCUGACUCGUUCACAUUUUCCAUCACCUCGGGAAGAAAGCGCAGACUGUUUCUUGGGGAAAAUCUACAGUUCCUUAGUCCAACGUGUCUGACUCAUAAACCCUGUCAUCAAGGACAAACAGAUGAUAGAAGCAGGGAUGUGCUCCUGGAGACACAUGGACCAACAUUUUAGGCAGUUCUGAAGACCUGGGGCAGCACUAGUCCUGUCAUAAAGAGAAAUUAAUGUUGUUAAAGUUGGCCUAGCUGCCCUCUGGGACAGCUGAAGAUGUGGAAAUACAAGGCUCUGUUUUUAAAAUGAAAAUGAUUAAAGGCACAGACACCUUGCUCUUGGAAGCAGCCACUGAAACUUUUAAUAAAAUAUGUGGGCACAUACUCA
This 967-nucleotide long non-coding RNA is filed under the name Vulpes vulpes (red fox). RNAcentral describes it as "lncRNA (ENSVVUG00000000126.1)". The record is from RNAcentral. Lineage: Eukaryota; Metazoa; Chordata; Mammalia; Carnivora; Canidae.